This 407-nucleotide ribosomal RNA is filed under the name uncultured bacterium. RNAcentral describes it as "partial 16S ribosomal RNA". It matches the Rfam family "Bacterial small subunit ribosomal RNA", at positions 28 to 526 of the family's 1533-position model. The record is from RNAcentral.
GACGAACACUGGCGGCGUGCCUAAUCCAUGCAAGUCGAGCGGAGCGGCGGACGGGUGAGUAAUGCCUAGGAAUCUGCCUGGUAGUUGGGGAUAACGUCCGGAAACGGGCGCUAAUACCGCAUACUAUCAGAUGAGCCUUGGUCGGAUUAGCUAGGUGGUGGGGUAAAGGCCUACCAAGGCGACGAUCCGUAACUGGGCUGAGAGGAUGAUCAGUCACACUGGAACGGAGACACGGUCCAGACUCCUACGGGAGGCAGCAGUGGGGAAUAUUGGACAAUGGGCGAAAGCCUGAACCAGCCAUGCCGCGUGUGUGAAGAAGGUCUUCGGAUUGUAAAGCACUUUAAGUUGGGAGGCGUUACCAACAGAAUAAGCACCGGCUAACUUCGUGCCAGCAGCCGCGGUAAUAC